AAUACCGCAUACGCCCUACGGGGGAAAGCGGGGGACCUUCGGGCCUCGUGCUAUUAGAUGAGCCUGCGUUGGAUUAGCUAGUUGGUGGGGUAAAGGCCUACCAAGGCGACGAUCCAUAGCUGGUCUGAGAGGAUGAUCAGCCACACCGGGACUGAGACACGGCCCGGACUCCUACGGGAGGCAGCAGUGGGGAAUAUUGCGCAAUGGGCGAAAGCCUGACGCAGCCAUGCCGCGUGUGUGAAGAAGGCCUUCGGGUUGUAAAGCACUUUCAAUUGGGAGGAAAGGUUCACGGUUAAUAACCGUGAGCUGUGACGUUACCUUUAGAAGAAGCACCGGCUAACUCCGUGCCAGCAGCCGCGGUAAUACGGAGGGUGCGAGCGUUAAUCGGAAUUACUGGGCGUAAAGCGCGCGUAGGUGGUCUGUUAAGUCGGAUGUGAAAGCCCCGGGCUCAACCUGGGAACUGCAUCCGAUACUGGCAAACUAGAGUGCGGGAGAGGGAGGUAGAAUUCCAUGUGUAGCGGUGAAAUGCGUAGAUAUGUGGAGGAAUACCAGUGGCGAAGGCGGCCUCCUGGCUCGACACUGACACUGAGGCGCGAAAGCGUGGGGAGCAAACAGGAUUAGAUACCCUGGUAGUCCACGCCGUAAACGAUGUCUACUAGCUGUAGGGGUACUUGAGACCUUUGUAGCGCAGCUAACGCAAUAAGUAGACCGCCUGGGGGAGUACGGCCGCAAGGUUAAAACUCAGAUGAAUUGACGGGGGCCCGCACAAGCAGUGGAGCAUGUGGGUUUAAUUCGAUGCAACGCGAAGAACCUUACCAGGCCUUGACAUCCUCGGAACUUUCUAGAAGAUAGAUUGGUGCCUUCGGGAACCGAGUGACAGGUGCUGCAUGGCUGUCGUCAGCUCGUGUCGUG
This 912-nucleotide ribosomal RNA is filed under the name uncultured marine bacterium. RNAcentral describes it as "bacterial SSU rRNA". It matches the Rfam family "Bacterial small subunit ribosomal RNA", at positions 165 to 1069 of the family's 1533-position model. The record is from RNAcentral.